This 348-nucleotide ribosomal RNA is filed under the name Triticum aestivum (bread wheat). Its description in RNAcentral is "partial small subunit ribosomal RNA". Lineage: Eukaryota; Viridiplantae; Streptophyta; Magnoliopsida; Poales; Poaceae. The record is from RNAcentral.
AUGGAGUUCCAUCAAUCUGGGAGAUCCACGAGUCGCUUCCAUCAUCUGCCACUAGAAAUCAUUGUUGUACUCAAUGGACCUAUAAUGUCUUGUACUCAAAUCCUUGUAAUUGCUUGGAAUUCUGUAUUAAGGAAAUGUCCACCAGCAACAGUAAUCCUGGGGCUGGUGAUGACACAAGGGUCGUUUACUGGGAUUUAUGUCCCGGAAAUCAAGGCCCCAACAAAUCACCUUCGAAGCAAUCUUAUACAAGACAUUACACAGGCUGAUUGGACGGAAUUGAGACGUGAGCGUGGUUUUUUUUACCUUUGGGAUAAGAACCAAGACAGUAUCAUUAAUGCAUUCUGCUGA